ACUGCAGCCUGAACCCUACCUCCACCACUGUAUGCUGGUGUCUACUAUGGGUUUACUGACGAAAGAAGUAGUAGCUCAAAAGGAAAUCAUGUAUGCAGAGGAAUUGCUCCUAGACUAUUGUAGAGUGUAUCCUAGCAUAUACGACAGACGAUCAAUGUUCAUCUCCUGCGACAUCUGCCACAUUUAUGAGACUAUAUGGACCUCUCUUCCAUUUUUCGAACUUCGGCUUCGAGUCGAUGAAUUCAGCACUGAAAAGCAUGAUCCAUGGCAGUUGACACAUAAAUAGUCAGAUUUCCUUUGCCGUUGGAGUGACGAAAUCUCUUCCAAACUUGCUGAAAAAACUCACCAUCACCUUGGAAGACAGGAA
This is a long non-coding RNA of Lineus longissimus, 367 nucleotides long. RefSeq lists it as uncharacterized. NCBI's taxonomy places the organism in Eukaryota, Metazoa, Nemertea, Pilidiophora, Heteronemertea, Lineidae. The record is from RefSeq and is a predicted model, not a curated record. The transcript is spliced from 3 exons.